Non-coding RNA from Cordylochernes scorpioides, 65 nucleotides. NCBI's taxonomy places the organism in Eukaryota, Metazoa, Arthropoda, Arachnida, Pseudoscorpiones, Chernetidae. The record is from the annotation of a GenBank genome assembly.
UGCAUCGGCCGGUAAUCAAAUCGCCUGCGUGGCAGGCGAGCAUUCUACCACUGAACCACCGAUGC